CUAGUGCGAGAAAAUGACCAAAUGGUGAGCCAGCUCUCCUCGCUUACUUUGUGUUGGAGGUUUAAGGAUUGUUUUGAAAUAUGAAACAGUUUAGGAAGCAAGACUAUUUUUUGCAGCGAAGCCUGCCAAUGAUUACAGCCAAACUGGAGAGAAAGAACGUGUUCGCAGGAGCCUGCCUUUUUUACCACCGUUGCCACCGCUACGGCCACUAACAAUGCUACCAAUGAUACCAAUGCAACCAAUGAAACCAAUGCAACUCAUGAGACAAGCGGUUGAAAGCUCGAGCGAUAACAGGGACGGGUACGUGGGCGUGUCUAAUGCUGUAAUGUCAUCGGUUGGCGGAGUCAGCAGAGGCUACAUGAUGCAGAACGUCAAUGGAGAGAUGAAAUCCGCCUAUUGGUGAAACUAGCAGACGGGGCCGUCCAUGAUGACCGCUAACUCAGCCAAAACAUCGAAC
Molecule: long non-coding RNA, 457 nt
Organism: Pectinophora gossypiella (pink bollworm)
Lineage: Eukaryota; Metazoa; Arthropoda; Insecta; Lepidoptera; Gelechiidae
Exons: 4
Source: RefSeq, a predicted model, not a curated record